Molecule: ribosomal RNA, 459 nt
Filed under: uncultured bacterium
Lineage: Bacteria
Description: bacterial SSU rRNA
Rfam family: Bacterial small subunit ribosomal RNA
Source: RNAcentral
GACGAACGCUGGCGGCGUGCUUAACACAUGCAAGUCGAACGGUGACGAGGAGCUUGCUCCUCCGAUCAGUGGCGAACGGGUGAGUAACACGUGAGUAACCUGCCCCAGACUCUGGGAUAACAGUUGGAAACAGCUGCUAAUACCGGAUACGAGACGGAGAGGCAUCUCUACCGUCUGGAAAGUUUUUCGGUCUGGGAUGGACUCGCGGCCUAUCAGCUUGUUGGUGAGGUAAUGGCUCACCAAGGCGACGACGGGUAGCCGGCCUGAGAGGGCGACCGGCCACACUGGGACUGAGACACGGCCCAGACUCCUACGGGAGGCAGCAGUGGGGAAUAUUGCACAAUGGGCGAAAGCCUGAUGCAGCGACGCCGCGUGAGGGAUGACGGCCUCGGUUGUAACCGUACUUUCUAGCAGGAAGGAAGACGAAAGUAGACGGUACCUCGCAGAAGAAGACACCGG